RNAcentral lists this long non-coding RNA (229 nucleotides) under Vigna radiata. Its description in RNAcentral is "long non-coding RNA (VRAD_LNC016685)". Lineage: Eukaryota; Viridiplantae; Streptophyta; Magnoliopsida; Fabales; Fabaceae. The record is from RNAcentral.
GUCUACAGGGAGGUACAUGAGUCCCUUUACAGAGGGCAGGAGGCCAUUACCGAGAUGAUCAUAAGACUUUAUGACCAGCCACCAGUGCACAGGUGGACUAUGGAUGAGUUUUGUAGUGUGAUGGCUUGGCCUCGAGGACAGGCACAUGGUAGUGGGUCCGGAGCUGCUGGAACUUCAGGAGGACAGGAUGAUGACCACGAGGAUGAUGAAGACUUUGAGGAUGCCCAGG